This is a long non-coding RNA of Acanthopagrus latus (yellowfin seabream), 1776 nucleotides long. RefSeq lists it as uncharacterized. The record is from RefSeq and is a predicted model, not a curated record. The transcript is spliced from 5 exons. Lineage: Eukaryota; Metazoa; Chordata; Actinopteri; Spariformes; Sparidae.
CUCCUCUGGUCCGCCAACACCGUUAACAACACACGCAGGGGGAGAACAUGCAUUUAAAGGAGAGAACAACAUAAACAUCUUGCCUUCAUAAUUUGGUUCAGCUUCCUCCGACUCCUCGGGUCCGUCCAGAGGCUCCAGGUCUCCGGUGUGCAGGUUGAGCUCGUGUUUGGACGUCUUGAUGAAGUCUGCGAUCACUCUGUAGGUGUCCAGUAUGAUCGGGCCGGAAAUGUCUGACAGUCUGCAGAGGGAAUGAUCAUCUGAUUUAUUCGACUCACUCAUUUUAAAGAUAUUUGCGGCUGCAGACAUGUGUGUUAUAUACUGACGUGUUCGGGGCAGGCGGGUUUUCAUCCUCCGGUCGGACCUUGAAGAAGUUGGUGAGGAGUUUGCAGCGGGAGAUGUGAGGCGGCAGGUUGAUGAGCAGGCGGCAGUACUCUGCCAGCGUCGUCUGUCUGGUUUCUGUCGACUUCUGGCUGUCGAGCCAUCGCGGCGCUGAGGACACAAACAACCAACUAACAGGUGGAAGUUUCCAGACCAUUUGGGAUGCUGCUGUUGCAUCAGGACUGAGGCACGCAAAGAAUCCUGGGAUAUGUGAAGCUAUGAAGGAUUGUAGCCGUGCAUCCUCCAGAAACAGGGAGAAGAAGGAGCAUCUGGAGGAGCCUUUGGAUUGGGACCUGAGUCUUUACGUGGCGUUGUGACGUAAUUGGCCUUCAGAUGCUCCUCUGAAGGAUGCAGACCUGAACUGAGUCACAACACUAGUGGUAAAGUUCUAGAUUGUCCCGCUACGGAGAAGAAAGUAGUUUUCUAAACAUGGACUCACUUGGAACUUGUUUGUUAUUGUGUCAUGUCGGCGCUUCUCUUCAUCUCGUCACAUUGUGAAUGUGAAUAAGUAUGUUCAUCCAUCUAUUAUUUGAUUGUACGCUCAAACUUCUCACAACACAGACUGUACAGCAGCCACUCGCCCUCUCUGGUGUCAGGUUUGACGUUCUGGGCUACUGUAAAAACAUGGUGGUGCAACAUGGCGACACUAUGUAGAUAUAAACGUCUCAUUCUUGGGUAAUAAAAACACAACAAUGAUUAUUUUCUAUUGAUUAUACGCUAAUUAAGACAUAUUCAUGAAUAUUAUAAUCAGUUUCUGCCGAGUCUGUUCUGCUAGAUGAAAAAUAUGACACACUGCACCUUUUUAAACACUACAACAAAUAUUUUGACGUUGUGAUUUCAGGCUUGUUUGCUUCAACACGUUUUAAAAACAGAGAAGUGGAGCGAUGUGUGUGAUACCUACAGGUGCUUCCUGAAAGAGCAUCACAGUGCGCAGAGCAUCUGAACAAAUCAGCUACAAGCUUGUAUAGAUAACUGAGAGAGACGGACGGUGAAUUAACUAAAAUUUGGUGUGGGUCUAAGGACGACACCAAGGUCAGAUUAUAAUGCAGUAAAUUUAUUAAAAAUAUUACUUUUGCAAGGAAAUUUGCUGUUUCACUGGUGUCAUUUUAGAUGAUAAAGUUUGUUGUUAAACUGUAAAAUAUCCUGCUUCUAUUACAUAUCUUUGAUUUGAGGGAACAUUGCAAAACAUUUGCAUAUAUCAACUUAUAAAUUAAAUCAAACAAACACCUCAUGAUUUAUAAAAGCUUUGUGAUUUCUUAAUUCCCUCUUAAUCAAAAACAGAAAUAUUCCCUCUCUGUCAGUUUUAAACAAUGAAAUUCUGACAGCCAGAGGAAAUAAAACUAUGAAACUGAACAUAAAACAUAAAAUAAAAUGCAGAUGUCUCAUGUUUCAAGUCAA